Austrofundulus limnaeus is the source of this 1250-nucleotide long non-coding RNA. RefSeq lists it as uncharacterized. The transcript is spliced from 3 exons. NCBI's taxonomy places the organism in Eukaryota, Metazoa, Chordata, Actinopteri, Cyprinodontiformes, Rivulidae. The record is from RefSeq and is a predicted model, not a curated record.
AACACAGACCCGCAAUGCCGUGUCACUGCAGUGUUCGCUUGCAGCAAUCGUAGUGGAAAAUGUUCGGACCUCAUAAGAUUUCACUGGUACUUGAAUGUGUUUGGCUUCAUUGUCAACAUGGAGAGUUUGUUCAGAUUGGUACCAGAAGUUCUAGCCAACCAAAGUUUCUUGUUAACGUACAAGUUGAGCCAAGAUCCCUUGGAGCUGUUCUUCGGUGCAGUACGCAAAGCGGGAUGUAUGAUUAUGCAGGUGGAUUUAACAACAACCCAAGCUGUCGUCAGUUCAUGGCAAUCUUCGGUAAGAAGAUUGUGCACAGCGGGGUAUCACCAUCUUCAGCUAAAUGUUGUCUUCAUGGACAGCACACAGUGUCUCCAGGUCGAUGAUGUCAUGCCACAUGAAGCAGCUGAGUCUACUUUUAUGGACAACAUCCACCACACGUACAGCACAUGGAUCUCACCAAAACUUGCUCCGUUUGCUAUGAACAUCAUAACAUACAUUGCAGGUUUUGUGGUGCGUCAGAUUGUAACUGAGGUGUGUUGUGAUGUGUGUAAAUCAUCUUUGGUCUCUAAUGCUGUCUAAUCUCAAUAUGAUAAUUUGUAUCAGCUGUUUCAAAUGAAAAAUAAAGGUGGGAUGUUACACCCUCACAAAGUGUAGUGCACCUUUUAACUGCAGCAGAAAAAGGCAUCAGACUUUUCAUGAAUAUUUCCAAUGCAACAAAUGUCUGCUCCCGACACAGAGUGCUGGUCUAAAAAAUGAACGUGGGGAUAUCGAUCCAUUGUGCCUCGGAAAACAUAUAGUGGAGUCUCAAUAUGGCAUGGACAGCCAUUACCUUGACCUCAUCCAACUCCUGAUGAACAGUUACUACACCAUCAGACAGAAACAUGUUGCCAGAUUACACACCUCACAGCUUAAAAAAAGAGUCUGUUCAUCGGAAACUGACUUAAGCUCAUUCUCUUCAAAGGCCAAUAAUUAAACAAUACAGGAAAAAAACACUAAUAAAUACAGUAAAGUACAGAAUAACUAUGGACUUGCAUUUAUUUUACAAAUGAUUGUCAAUCUUAUAAUUGAACACAAUUUUGUUUUUUAUUUAAUUUUUUUUAGUUUAUUGUGUAUUUCUAAACAGUGUUUUCAAAAUGAUGCUUUAAACCUUGGUUUUUGGAUUGUGUUUUGACAAUGUAAUUUUAGUAUACUUUCUUUUACUUGUUUUGACUACGUUGUUAAUAAAAAUAAAAAUUUUUUAGUUAAAAUAA